RNAcentral lists this ribosomal RNA (253 nucleotides) under uncultured bacterium. RNAcentral describes it as "partial 16S ribosomal RNA". It matches the Rfam family "Bacterial small subunit ribosomal RNA", at positions 524 to 776 of the family's 1533-position model. The record is from RNAcentral.
UACGUAGGGGGCUAGCGUUGUCCGGAUUUAUUGGGCGUAAAGGGCGCGUAGGCGGCUUGGCAAGUGGAAGGUGAAAUCCCUCGGCUUAACCGAGGAACUGCCCUCCAAACUGCUUUGCUUGAGGCCGGGAGAGGUGAGUGGAAUUCCCAGUGUAGCGGUGAAAUGCGUAGAUAUUGGGAGGAACACCAGUGGCGAAGGCGGCUCACUGAACCGGUUCUGACGCUGAUGCGCGAAAGCGUGGGGAGCAAACGGG